AGGUCCUGCCUGCCCAGUGAACAUAUUCAACGGCCGCGGUACCCUAACCGUGCAAAGGUAGCGUAAUCACUUGUCCUUUAAAUAAGGACCAGUAUGAAUGGCUAAAUGAGGGCCCACCUGUCUCCUUUGGCCCCCCAAUGAAACUGAUCUCCUAGUCCAAAAGCUAGGAUAAACAUACAAGACGAGAAGACCCUGUGGAGCUUAAAACACCCACUACCGACACACCACCAGUAGACCCUGUUUUUAGUUGGGGCGACUACGGAACAAACAAAACCUCCACGAACCGGACUAACCUCCGCCACGGGCACACACGCCAAAAACUGACCCAGUACUACUGACCAACGAACCAAGUUACCCCAGGGAUAACAGCGCCAUCCCCUUAAAGAGUCCAUAUCGCCAAGGGGGCUUACGACCUCGAUGUUGGAUCAGGACCCCCCGGCGGCGCAGCAGCUGCCAACGGUUCGUUUGUUCAACGAUUAAAGUCCUACGUGAUCUGAGUUCAGACC
This 506-nucleotide ribosomal RNA is filed under the name Cnemaspis sp. ND-2017b. RNAcentral's name for it is "partial 16S ribosomal RNA". It matches the Rfam family "Bacterial large subunit ribosomal RNA", at positions 1850 to 2617 of the family's 2925-position model. Lineage: Eukaryota; Metazoa; Chordata; Lepidosauria; Squamata; Gekkonidae. The record is from RNAcentral.